GAGAAAUCGGGGGAUAUAUAGGAAAUAUCGCAGAUAUUUCAAUCCUUGCCUCCAACCUCGUUCGCUCGCCCUUUCCACCUUCGCCACCCACCCCGACGCAGCUGAUAGGUUGCUUGUGCCGUUGCUCCUCUUCGCCUAAUUGAAGGUGCUUAAGUAAGAGCAAGCCAGUAAGGAAGCUAUUAUUGUUUGCUACUCCAGACCUCAAGGACUUAAACCAAGAGAUCACCAAGAAACUUCUCCAAUCGUGUAGGAAAGUGCUAAGAUCUUCCAGAUUUUGGUUUAAGGAUGAUUGGGCUAGAGUGAUUUCAGUCUCCCUUCCACGGUUUGCCGAUUCGUCAAGCAAGAACUAGCCGAUGAAGCUUUCUAUUAUGGCAUCAAAUCGCAGAUUAAGUCUGCGAUGUUGCCACCUCCAAUAUCAGGAAUCGGUUCUCGAUUGUCACAACAGUAUAGCCUGCCUACAACGACCUCCCAUCGGCAAUCACAGCUAGUACGGACGAGACAGUUUGGAUCGCACAAGGCAGUCAAAUAUCCAACUACGAUUUGAGGACAUAAUCUUGUUUUGCUGAGUUUAUCCUGAAAUAGCUGCCGUAUGAUCCAAAUCCGACCCGGGGAUGACUGUCAGGGUUAGGAGGGGAGUGGACUGGAGGGGGUGUAGAAGGCUAGUUGGUUGGUUAGGUCAAGGAGUGGUAGCAUGUGGCUUUGUCCAGGGCAGGGAAAGACUAGGAUGUGAGGGGACCAGUGGUUUUGAGCACAGGAGAUCGACAUGGUUGUUGGGGAGAGGAGGAUCAGAGGAAGAAGAAGAGGAAAAUAAAUUUUUAGUUGUAGGGUUGUGUUAGAGUGUGGGAUUUUGGGUACAAGCGUAAUUUAGUCCCUAAGUUUAGGAGAGUGACUAGCUUUCAAUGUCCACGUCAGUAGUUAACGCCCAAUUUGGACGGAGCAAUUAAAAUUGGACACGGUUGAUUAAAUUUGAGUGUAUAAGGGUGGUUUUGAUUAAAUUGAGACCGUAUGAACUAACAUGAUGUUUGAUCCUGUAGGGGCACUUUUGAUCGGAGUUGUACGGCAGUGGAUAUUCAUGGGUAAGGACCCAAAACUUUGCCCCUUUGUCUGAGUUAGCGAACACUAGGCCCAGCAAACUUCGAAGGACUUGAGAAUCCUAGGAAGCUUGCUGUUGUGUUCUUCCCGACAGCUCUUUGUAUAUGCACGGCAGUGAAUUGAUAAUUUCAAAAGAGGCUUGGCAAGAUGCAUGUGGCGUGGGAGCUAGAAAAGCAUGAUUUGUAGUGAAGAUGAGAGAUUUGCAGCAGCCAUGAAAGCUUGGAUUCGGAUUGUGGUUGAUGAGUUUUUGGAUUGGAAAUGGGUUUUUGGGAUACAUGCAUGUUGGGGGAAUUGCUUGGUUUUGUUUUUGGGUUUGCACAUAUGUAUCUAGGUUGGAUCUGAAUGGGUUUCUGGGAUGAGUAUGGGGAAUAGCUUGGGUUUGCUUUGCGUAUGGAUUACUUUGGGGUUGUUUUCGAAUGCCCUUCACAAUAGUAAGAACUCUCAAUUUAUAGGAGAGUUGAUGUGUGAUGUAGCAUUAAAUUAACUUGCUGCCUCUUACCUUUGGCGUGUAGCUGUGAUUAUAUCGCAGAAAUCCUACUGCUGGGAUUACCAUUCCAAGAUUCCCGCUGCUGAAAUCUGCUGCUGGGAUUGCAAUCCAGGAUUUCUGCCGUGUUGCUAGGAUUAUGUUUCUGCUGUUGGGAUUGGGAUUAUAUGUGGCAUUUAGUGUUUUGUUUGGUUUCAAA
Long non-coding RNA from Rosa rugosa (rugosa rose), 1775 nucleotides. RefSeq lists it as uncharacterized. The record is from RefSeq and is a predicted model, not a curated record. The transcript has 2 exons. NCBI's taxonomy places the organism in Eukaryota, Viridiplantae, Streptophyta, Magnoliopsida, Rosales, Rosaceae.